RNAcentral lists this transfer RNA (69 nucleotides) under Onitis falcatus. RNAcentral's name for it is "tRNA-Arg". Lineage: Eukaryota; Metazoa; Arthropoda; Insecta; Coleoptera; Scarabaeidae. The record is from RNAcentral.
AAAUAAGAAACAAUAUAUUUGUAUUUAGUUUCGACCUAAAAUUUUGAUGAUAAAAUUCAUCCUUAUUUG